UACGUAUGGUGCAAGCGUUAUCCGGAUUUACUGGGUGUAAAGGGAGCGCAGGCGGCACGGCAAGCCUGAUGUGAAAGCCCGCGGCCCAACCGCGGGACUGCAUUGGGAACUACCGGGCUGGAGUGCCGGAGAGGUAGGCGGAAUUCCCAGUGUAGCGGUGAAAUGCGUAGAUAUUAGGAGGAACACCAGUGGCGAAGGCGGCCUACUGGACGGUGACUGACGCUGAGGCUCGAAAGCGUGGGGAGCAAACAGG
This 253-nucleotide ribosomal RNA is filed under the name uncultured bacterium. RNAcentral's name for it is "partial 16S ribosomal RNA". It matches the Rfam family "Bacterial small subunit ribosomal RNA", at positions 524 to 776 of the family's 1533-position model. The record is from RNAcentral.